Myotis brandtii (Brandt's bat) is the source of this 104-nucleotide non-coding RNA. The record is from Rfam. Lineage: Eukaryota; Metazoa; Chordata; Mammalia; Chiroptera; Vespertilionidae.
GUGCUUGCUUUCUCAGUACAUAUACUAAAGAAUUGGAAGAAUAGAGAUUAGCAUGGCCCCUGCACAAGAAUGACAUGCAAAUUUGUGAAGCGUUCGAUAUUUUU